CACGUAGGGACCAAGCGUUGUCCGGAAUCAUUGGGCGUAAAGGGCGCGUAGGCGGCUUGUCAAGUCACUUGUGAAAUCUCUGGGCUUAACCCAGAACGGCCAAGUGAAACUGUCAUGCUAGAGUGCAGAAGGGGCAAUCGGAAUUCUUGGUGUAGCGGUGAAAUGCGUAGAUAUCAAGAGGAACACCUGAGGUGAAGACGGGUUGCUGGGCUGACACUGACGCUGAGGCGCGAAAGCCAGGGGAGCAAACGGG
This 253-nucleotide ribosomal RNA is filed under the name uncultured bacterium. RNAcentral's name for it is "partial 16S ribosomal RNA". It matches the Rfam family "Bacterial small subunit ribosomal RNA", at positions 524 to 776 of the family's 1533-position model. The record is from RNAcentral.